Portunus trituberculatus (swimming crab) is the source of this 520-nucleotide long non-coding RNA. RefSeq lists it as uncharacterized. Lineage: Eukaryota; Metazoa; Arthropoda; Malacostraca; Decapoda; Portunidae. The transcript has 2 exons. The record is from RefSeq and is a predicted model, not a curated record.
AUAAACGCCAGCUUCGGCUGUUUCCGUACGCAGCCGGGAGCACGCCUGCGCAUUGGCCCGCGGCGGAGUGGGGUCGAUACGGGGCCGGCUCAGCGUGCACCAGGAGAAGCCACCAGCUCCUCCGACCGACGUGUCUCGCUCUGAGGUGGAGACAGCCCGCUGAGAGCUGUUUCUAAAUACAAGCAUGUCAAUGAGCGACGUAGAGACACACGAGAGCAUUAUACGGCCCUUCAUUGCCUACAACGGAAAUGAAAACAAUUACCAACACAUCCCAACGUCCGCCUCACCUCCGCAUUUCCCUAAGCUAAUAAAAACUAGGUUGCUUAUAAAAUCAAGAAGUGAAACAGACGAGAAGGGAUCAUUCUGCUAGUCCCUCCAUGUUCUCAAAAUUCAACUGGAAGCUUUGAAUUAAAGAAAGGUUACAAGCACAACGUAAUAAAGGUGGUGCCUCAAUUUCUGUAUUAAAUAAGAGCUAGGAUGUAUUUGAAUCUAAAAAAGAAUAUAUACAUAAAGAACAAAA